Molecule: ribosomal RNA, 301 nt
Filed under: uncultured bacterium
Lineage: Bacteria
Description: partial 16S ribosomal RNA
Rfam family: Bacterial small subunit ribosomal RNA
Source: RNAcentral
CAGUCGCCGCGGGAAUACAGAGGGUGCGAGCGUUAAUCGGAUUUACUGGGCGUAAAGCGUGCGUAGGUGGUGGUUUAAGUCCGUUGUGAAAGCCCUGGGCUCAACCUGGGAAUUGCAGUGGAUACUGGGUCACUAGAGUGUGGUAGAGGAUAGUGGAAUUUCCGGUGUAGCAGUGAAAUGCGUAGAGAUCGGAAGGAACAUCUGUGGCGAAGGCGACUAUCUGGGCCAACACUGACACUGAGGCACGAAAGCGUGGGGAGCAAACAGGAUUAGAUACCCCAGUAGUCCCUGUCUCUUAUAC